UGGGGAAUCUUGCACAAUGGGGGAAACCCUGAUGCAGCGACGCCGCGUGAGCGAUGAAGCCCUUCGGGGUGUAAAGCUCUUUCGGCAGGGACGAUAAUGACGGUACCUGCAGAAGCAGCUGCGGCUAACUACGUGCCAGCAGCCGCGGUAAUACGUAGGCAGCAAGCGUUGUUCGGAAUUACUGGGCGUAAAGAGUGCGUAGGCUGUUUGUCAAGUUCGGUGUGAAAUCUCCUGGCUCAACUGGGAGGGUGCGCCGGAAACUGGCAGACUAGAGUGUGGGAGAGGAAAGUGGAAUUCCUGGUGUAGCGGUGAAAUGCGUAGAUAUCAGGAGGAACACCGGAGGUGAAGACGGCUUUCUGGACCAUAACUGACGCUGAGGCACGAAAGCGUGGUAGCAAACAG
RNAcentral lists this ribosomal RNA (402 nucleotides) under uncultured bacterium. RNAcentral's name for it is "bacterial SSU rRNA". It matches the Rfam family "Bacterial small subunit ribosomal RNA", at positions 355 to 775 of the family's 1533-position model. The record is from RNAcentral.